GCAAUAUUAAUUUGUUGCUAGACUUAAGCAUAAUUCUCAAGACAAUAACUAAGACAAUACGCAGCGAAGAUAUUACUGUUGUCGAUAAAUCUUCUAUUAAGGAUUUGGACGAUGAGAGGAGGACAUCUAUUGAAAAUAAGGGAAUUGGGAAUUGAAGAUUUUAGUACUCAUAAAGAUACUAUUUUAGAAAUGUUAAUGGAUUCUGCAAGUUAUGAAAUUUUCUCCAAGCAAAAUUAUUUUAGUAGGUCAUGGUGAAUUCAGCAUUUAUUCGAUUGAUAUGGAAUUACGUGGGAAAUAUCGUGACGCAGGCAUUGAAAUUAUCCCGGUUAUCGGCGAUGUUCAGGAUCGUGACCGCAUGUUUGAGAUUAUGGAGAUGUACAAACCCCGUAUUGUCUAUCAUGCAGCAGCCCACAAGCAUGUCCCAUUAAUGGAACAGAACCACUCGUAUCACGGGAUUGUAAAUACUCUUUUAUGGUAUCUACUUUUCUGUCCGGUAAAAUAUCGAUGAUUUCUUUGUUCUCCACAUCUGCAAUGACUGUUUGAAACCUCUCUCCUCCUGCAUCUCCUUUAAACUCAUCAAUAGCUAUAGCACGUGGUAGAACCUUCUUUGUUUGCAGGGGAUGACGAUCAAACAAACGGAUUAAUCGAUUCGUUGUCAUACCAGAUAAACGGGCUGCAUCCGUAAAUGAACCGAUUGCCGAGUAAGUUCGUGCGCUCAUUUGUAAUGAAUUGGUGCACCUUUGAUACCGAUCCACCAUUUGUAAAUGUUCAUAAAAGGUAUGGUGGCAAUGGGUACAUAGGGGCCCUCAUCGGGUUACCGAAUUCAGUCAAACUCCGAAUGCCAGCUACUUAUCCUUGGGAGUCAGACUAUGGGUGAUAAGGUUCAUAGUCGAAAGGGAAACAGCCCAGACCGCCAGCUAAGGUCCCAAAGUAUACGUUAAGUGGAAAAGGAUGUGGAGUUGCCCAGACAACCAGGAUGUUGGCUUAGAAGCAGCCACCAUUUAAAGAGUGCGUAAUAGCUCACUGGUCGAGUGACUCUGCGCCGAAAAUGUACCGGGGCUAAACGUAUCACCGAAGCUGUGGAUUGACACCGUAUGGUGUCAGUGGUAGGAGAGCGUUCUAAGGACUGCGAAGCUAGACCGUAAGGACUGGUGGAGUGCUUAGAAGUGAGAAUGCCGGUAUGAGUAGCGAAAGAUGGGUGAGAAUCCCAUCCACCGAAUGCCUAAGGUUUCCUGAGGAAGGCUCGUCCGCUCAGGGUUAGUCGGGACCUAAGUCGAGGCCGAUAGGCGUAGACGAUGGACAACAGGUUGAUAUUCCUGUACCACCUUUCUUCCAUUUGAGCAAUGGGGGGACGCAGGAGGAUAGGGUAAGCGCACUGCUGGAUAUGUGCGUCUAAGCAGUUAGGCUGAUGAUGAGGCAAAUCCCAUCAUCGUGAAGGCUGAGCUGUGAUAGCGAGCGAAUUAUAGUAGCGAAGUUCCUGAUUCCACACUGCCAAGAAAAGCCUCUAGCGAGGAAGAUGGUGCCCGUACCGCAAACCGACACAGGUAGGCGAGGAGAGAAUCCUAAGGUGAGCGAGAGAACUCUCGUUAAGGAACUCGGCAAAAUGACCCCGUAACUUCGGGAGAAGGGGUGCUCUGGUAGGGUGCAAGCCCGAGAGAGCCGCAGUGAAUAGGCCCAGGCGACUGUUUAGCAAAAACACAGGUCUCUGCGAAGCCGUAAGGCGAAGUAUAGGGGCUGACGCCUGCCCGGUGCUGGAAGGUUAAGAGGAGUGCUUAGCGCAAGCGAAGGUGCGAAUCGAAGCCCCAGUAAACGGCGGCCGUAACUAUAACGGUCCUAAGGUAGCGAAAUUCCUUGUCGGGUAAGUUCCG
RNAcentral lists this ribosomal RNA (1868 nucleotides) under human gut metagenome. RNAcentral's name for it is "bacterial LSU rRNA". The stretch from base 594 to 1868 matches the Rfam family "Bacterial large subunit ribosomal RNA", at positions 1 to 1985 of the family's 2925-position model. The record is from RNAcentral.